Molecule: ribosomal RNA, 315 nt
Filed under: uncultured eukaryote
Lineage: Eukaryota
Description: partial 18S ribosomal RNA
Rfam family: Eukaryotic small subunit ribosomal RNA
Source: RNAcentral
CCCUUAGACGUUCUGGGCCGCACGCGCGCUACACUGACCAGUGCAACAAGCAUCCGUCCUUGGCCGACAGGCUCGGGCAAUCUUUGAACGCUGGUCGUGAUGGGGAUAGACUUUUGCAAUUUUAGGUCUUCAACGAGGAAUUCCUAGUAAACGCAAGUCAUCAACUUGCAUUGAUUACGUCCCUGCCCUUUGUACACACCGCCCGUCGCACCUACCGAUUGAAUGGUCCGGUGAAGCCUCCGGAUUGGCGCGCACCUCGGUGCCGCCGAGAAGUUGGCUAAACCUUACCAUUUAGAGGAAGGUGAAGUCGUAACA